RNAcentral lists this long non-coding RNA (2109 nucleotides) under Orbicella faveolata. Its description in RNAcentral is "uncharacterized LOC110061403". Lineage: Eukaryota; Metazoa; Cnidaria; Anthozoa; Scleractinia; Merulinidae. The record is from RNAcentral.
UUCUGUAAACAGUUUCGUUAGUAUGACGUCAUGCAGCUUAGCAAGGGCCAAACAAAAAAUAUGAAUUGUCAAUAAUCGGAACUGAUCACACCGCAAUAAACUUUUUUCUACCGAACUCAAACACAGCUUUGCAAAUUCUUCAAUUCAAAUAACUUACUUGUGUUUUGUUCUUGAUGUAUGACCAAGUCUCGGUGGAGAAGUUUGAGUUCUAAAGAGCAAGCUGCAAGCGUAGUACUGUUUUUUCUCGAUAUCAAUGAUGUCUAAAGCCCUUUUUAUGUGGCGGCAAAUAUUCAGAGCUCCGGUGGUAAAGAACACUUUUUCACCUGAUCGUUGGUAACGGCAAUUUGGGGAAAGAACAGAUCCUCGGAUUAGAUCUCAAUGUUUUUCAAAGAUUCCUAUUGAAGCGUAAACUCAUCAACUACUACAGUGGCAUUCAUGGACUUGGAAGUGAAAUAAAAAGGUUCACGUUGAAGCGUAAGUCCAUCACCUACUACGGCUGCAUUCCUAAACUCGGAAGAGGACAUAAGAGAUUUCUUCCAGUGGUGGUACAUUCUUGACCUUUUGAAGGACAAAUUUAUAUUGGAAACAAGCCUCUAUCAAUCACAUAGCUAGGGAGUGCCAACAGCCCAAGAUACAGUUAUACUAGUCAUUGUCUAUUGCAAGAAUGAUCAAUAAAACUGUUUCUUGCCCUUAUUUUCUUUACUGUAAGGGUAACAGUUUAUAUCAAUCAGUUGUCUGUACCUGUCGGUAUGUUUCAAUGCGUGAAUAAUUUGCAAUUUAAAUUUUAAAUGGUUGCAGCCGCUCACCAAAUGGAUGUUUAUGAUUGCUAUUGUUCGACUGGACAAUUUUCUCGUUGCAACAAAGAUGGGAUAUUUAAAUAUUAAAAUAGUUUUUUUUAUGACCAGGUCUGGAUGAGGAGGACCAGGCAGUUUUUCAAGCAAUUUUCCGACAGCUAUACUUUUAGGGAUCAAUACUAACACUGUUUAUCCGGGGAUGCUACAACAUUGCUAUCACGCAAAUGCCCUGUCAUUAGUGCACCUUUAGUGGGUAUCUUUCUGGCUUAACAUGUUACCAAGCAACAGUAGAAACAUUAAGUUGACAAUUUAAGUUGGCUCUGAAACCCUCCUUAGAAUUUAUUAAAACUUUGCAAAACGUUGCAUUUUACCAUGCUUAUCACAAUUCGACAAUAAAGGGUGGUGACCACCAAGCUCGUUUAUCCAGCGCUUGGAACUAAAAUUAUAGGUGUUUUCAGCAGGUUGUACUCUUACUAUGGCAAAUUUUUAUACAAAAAAAGAGGACUAGGAGAAGGGUUUUAAUGAUAGGCUUCUCCUGAAUCCGAACAAGACCAAACUGAUUGUAUAUGGACACCGGCAAAUGAUAUCGAAGCUUCAGGAUUUUCGUCUUACCCUUCUGGGUAAGGAACUUUUACCCGUCGACUCUGUUAAGUACCUGGGUGUAGUGUUUGAUAGUAAACGCUCAUUCAACGACCUCACAACUGAAACAGUAUCAUCUUGUAUGUCUGCCUUAGGGCAAAUAAGUCGAGGUAAACAUGUAUUUAGGAAAGACAUACUUGUUACAAUAAUUAAUUCCCUCGUGUUUAGCAAGUUGUAUUAUUAUUUGUCCAUCUGGUCGAAUACUCCUGCUAGCAAUACACGCAAACUACAAGCAGCACAGAAUUUCGCUGCUCGCUUAGUUUCCGGGACAAGGAAGUUUGAUCAUGUAACGCCAGCCCUGAAAAACCUGAGAUGGACACCAGUAAAGUCCCACCUGUAUCUAAGAGACGCCAUCUUGGCCUUUAAAUCUGACAGGUCAAGUACCAAACUACCUCAGUUCAAAUUUUAUCUCCAGAGGGAACAUUAGCGGUCGGGCGACCAGAUCAUCUACCCAGCUUAAUAAACCGCUUUUUAAGACCAAGUGUGGACAGAGAUCUUUUUAUUACAGAACUGUAACUUUGUGGAGUCCCUUAAAACCCCAUUUUAAAUUAAGUGAAUCUCUUAUCAUUUUUAAACGUAAAAUGAAAGCCUUCCUUUUAAAUCAAUUUUUAAUGUCAUAAAUUUUAUAUGUAAAUACUUUUUCAAUAAUUGUUUAUCGAUUAUCUUUGAGUACUUU